UACGGAGGAUGCGAGCGUUAUCCGGAUUUAUUGGGUUUAAAGGGUGCGCAGGCGGGAGAUUAAGUCGGCGGUGAAAUUUUGCAGCUCAACUGUAAAAGUGCCUUCGAAACUGGUUUCCUUGAGUGUAGAUGAAGUAGGCGGAAUUUGUGGUGUAGCGGUGAAAUGCAUAGAUAUCACGAGGAACUCCGAUUGCGCAGGCAGCUUACUAAACUACUACUGACGCUCAGGCACGAAGGCGUGGGGAUCAAACAGGAUUAGAUACCCGU
RNAcentral lists this ribosomal RNA (266 nucleotides) under uncultured prokaryote. RNAcentral's name for it is "partial 16S ribosomal RNA". It matches the Rfam family "Bacterial small subunit ribosomal RNA", at positions 524 to 789 of the family's 1533-position model. The record is from RNAcentral.